RNAcentral lists this ribosomal RNA (62 nucleotides) under Synechococcus sp. SB0668_bin_15. RNAcentral describes it as "partial 16S ribosomal RNA". It matches the Rfam family "Bacterial small subunit ribosomal RNA", at positions 1 to 62 of the family's 1533-position model. Lineage: Bacteria; Bacillati; Cyanobacteriota; Cyanophyceae; Synechococcales; Synechococcaceae. The record is from RNAcentral.
AAAACGAAGAGUUUGAUCCUGGCUCAGGAUGAACGCUGGCGGCGUGCUUAACACAUGCAAGU